Molecule: long non-coding RNA, 2456 nt
Organism: Salvia splendens (bonfire salvia)
Lineage: Eukaryota; Viridiplantae; Streptophyta; Magnoliopsida; Lamiales; Lamiaceae
Exons: 4
Source: RefSeq, a predicted model, not a curated record
UAUAAAUAGUGUUUUCCCCCGUAUAAAUAGUGUUUAUUUUUUCUGUAAAUGUCAUUCAAUUUUAAUGAAACCGCCAAAAAAACGUACUCACCUUUUUUCGCAUUCCCUCUCAAAAUCCUUUGUUCAAAUACGACGGCGACAACCGUACCGGCGCUCCCGUCAAAGACCACUGCUCCGUCAGCUGGAUCAAUGUGAACAGUAUUUUCAUUGUUUCAGAGGCAUGUGGCGUCUCAGAAGGUUAUGGUAUCAGUUUCAUGACCUCAGCUCAACAUUGAAUGAGAAAGGCAAAUAUUGUGGCAGGACUCGGGAGACAGCUCCAGCCUUGGAUCCGUUUCUCGUUACACACGAGAAAUAUGUAAGAAGAGAGAUCCAUGUUGAUACUUGAGAAUAGAAAGAGAUAUAUAGGUACUAUAAUGCAAUGAAGGCCGAAGCACGUGAAGCAACUAUGCUGGUUUGCAAAUACAACGUGGUAGGGACCCUUAAUUUAGAGCACAGGAAAGUUUGUGUGGAAUCCUCCAUUUCCAGUUUAAGAGGUAUGUCUCCAUUCUCUCUUUCCUCAACAACCCUUUGAUUGGUAGAUGAGGCUAUUUAUUGUCAUCACUGUACAGAUUGCCUUGAGUUCAAGAGAGAUGGAUUAAUAUCAAUUUAUAUCUCAAUCUUUUGUCACUUUUAAAAACUUGCGGAUUUUGUCAUGACCUUUUUAAUAUAGUACGUAUUAAUUCCGUCAUGGAAACAAAAGAAUAAAUUUUGAAUCUUCAAAUUAAUUGAGGGCUUUUGAAGUUUCUGGCUUGCAUUCUACACUUGAUGUCGAAAUAUUCAAAAGCCCUUAAUCACUUUUGAAUUUCAAAAGACUUUCUAUUGUUUUAUGAUGGAAUUGAUACACGUUAAAAAACUUGAGAUAUCCAAGGCUGAGAUAUGAACUAAAAAUGAUGGAAGGGGGGCUACAGUUGUAUACUACAUAAUCUUAGGUGUGAUUGGCAAAUUAAAUAUGUGGGGGGCUGGGCCCUUUCUUGCAAUAAGUGGCAGCUGUGCCAAUUGGCAACAAAAUUAAUGCUGACAAAAGAAUUUAUUUUAGAGGUGGGGGCUGUAGCACUUCCAUCUUUUUAGGUUGGAUAAAUAAGAGUUAGUUCCAUCAUUUUUCCUUUGGAUUGGAGCCUGUGUCAUCUUCUACACCCCUACUGUUUUUGUUUCUACUCUUGUAGACUAAAAUGCUAAUAGCAAUUCCACUAAGUUGGGCGAGAUAGAAUUAUAAAAUAAAUGAAACAUACGAAGAUUAUUGCAGCUUUUUAGGUUUGGGUCAGAAAUUAUUUGGAGGGUUUCUGGCCUCUCUGUUUUGAAUACAGUUUCUCUUCAGUGUAGUUUGCAGGUUUUAUUAUGUGUAGAGUAGUAUAGGUUUGGUGGUUAUGUGAAAUCUUUUUGUCUUAAUUAAUGGGUACACUGGGCUGUACUUAGCUGAUCAGAGGGAUCAAAAGCUGAAUCUAGAUCUCCAUAAACAAAUUGUAUACUUUGGAAUGGCUUUCCAUGUUUAAGUAAAAGCUUAGGGUAGUACUCAUAUUUUUUAUUUUGCUGCACUGUAAAAUAUACUGGAUCCAGUGUAUUGUGAUUUAGGGUUUAGUACAAAAAAAUAGUUAAGUGUUUGAAUUGUUUGGAUGAGUACCGAGGAUGUAUAAUUUGGAUUAUAAAAAUACUAAGAUCCAAUAUAUUCUCUCUAUUUCCAUUAAUUGGCUUGAUUUGACUCUAUUCGACUCAGGUUUUAAGAAAUACUAUAAUGAAACGUGAAUAGAAAAAAGUUUGUUAAAUGUGGAUUCUAAAUUAUAGUAGUAAAAAAAUAUGAAUGAAAUAAUAUUAGUUGAAUUUAAGAUUAAUUAUUAUAAAUAAUAGUGAAACGUAAUGAGUAAUUAUUCGUGGAUAGACGAAAAUAAAUUGAGCCAAUCAAUGGCUGAUAGAGGCAGUGUUGUCAAAAUGUCGUUCGGGUUGUUCGGGUCGCCUGGGUCGAGACCAUCACCGCCCCAACAUGGGUGGGUAGAUCGAGAUAUAGGGUCGCCGUUGGGUCGCCCGGGUCGAGUGUGUCGGCUGGGUUGCCCAAACACAUGCUGCGCAGUCAUGUUUUAAGAUAAAUCCCUAAAUCUUUUUUAUGUAAAUCUUUCCUUCGAUGCUGAUUUGUUUUUACUAAAAUAAACAUAAUAUAAAAGUAAAACUUACCUAAAAUCUGAUCUCUCUUAUUUUCUCAAAUAUAUUACACGUUUUCUGACUUUCUCAAUCUCAAUUCUCUAUAUAUAUGUAUGCACCACAUCAAACUUUUCAAACCUACUUUCUACACUUUAGAAUUCGGUUCAAAGAUCUUUUGUUGCCACCCUUCAUAUAUUCCUUUCUUUUGAUAUUUUCAGACAAUGGUUUCAAUUAUUUAUUUUGUGUUAUGACUUAUGAAUUGUUUUGAUAUUUUUGAUAAUUUCUAU